CACAUACAGAGACUAACACACAGACAUGUAUAUACUCAUUAUUGCUGUUCAAAUUGAUGGUCAAAUUUCCAAGCACCACCUGAACGCCUCAUCUGUUUUCAACCCAUCACUGGACCAACUGUCGUCAUUCCGCUUUGCUCUCUGCUGUGGAACUUGACUGACACCUGUGCUUUGCCUGUGUGCAGAAGAAGAACAAGGACCAGAUCUCCAG
Long non-coding RNA from Oreochromis aureus, 211 nucleotides. RefSeq lists it as uncharacterized. The transcript is spliced from 3 exons. The record is from RefSeq and is a predicted model, not a curated record. NCBI's taxonomy places the organism in Eukaryota, Metazoa, Chordata, Actinopteri, Cichliformes, Cichlidae.